RNAcentral lists this ribosomal RNA (606 nucleotides) under uncultured bacterium. RNAcentral describes it as "bacterial SSU rRNA". It matches the Rfam family "Bacterial small subunit ribosomal RNA", at positions 8 to 589 of the family's 1533-position model. The record is from RNAcentral.
AGAGUUUGAUUAUGGCUCAGAACGAACGCUGGCGGCGUGCCUAACACAUGCAAGUCGAGCGAGAAAGUCCCCGCAAGGGGAUGAGUAAAGCGGCGAACGGGUGAGUAACACGUGGGCAACCUGCCCUUCAGUUAGGAAUAACCCAUCGAAAGGUGGGCUAAUACCAGAUGACGUCCCUUGGGGGCAUCCUCGGGGGACCAAAGGGGGCGAGCGAAAGCGGCUCCCGCUGAAGGAUGGGCCUGCGGCUGAUUAGCUAGUUGGUGGGGUAGCGGCCUACCAAGGCAACGAUCAGUAGCCGACCUGAGAGGGUGACCGGCCACACUGGGACUGAGACACGGCCCAGACUCCUACGGGAGGCAGCAGUGGGGAAUAUUGCGCAAUGGGCGAAAGCCUGACGCAGCGACGCCGCGUGGGUGAUGAAGGCCUUCGGGUCGUAAAACCCUGUCGGGUGGAACGAAUCUCCGCUUGGCUAAUACCGAGGCGGAUUGACGGUACCACCGAAGGAAGCCCCGGCUAACUACGUGCCAGCAGCCGCGGUAAUACGUAGGGGGCGAGCGUUGUUCGGAUUUACUGGGCGUAAAGAGCGCGUAGGUGGUUCGAUUAGUC